This 479-nucleotide ribosomal RNA is filed under the name uncultured bacterium. RNAcentral's name for it is "bacterial SSU rRNA". It matches the Rfam family "Bacterial small subunit ribosomal RNA", at positions 28 to 502 of the family's 1533-position model. The record is from RNAcentral.
GAUGAACGCUAGCGGCAGGCCUAACACAUGCAAGUCGAACGGUAACAGGGAUUGCUUGCAAUCCGCUGACGAGUGGCGCACGGGUGCGUAACGCGUAUACAAUCUGCCUUUAAGCGGGGAAUAGCCCAUGGAAACGUGGAUUAAUACCUCAUAGUAUUAUGAUUUCACCUGGAAUUAUAAUUAAACAUUUAUGGCUUAAAGAUGAGUAUGCGUCCUAUUAGUUAGUUGGUAAGGUAACGGCUUACCAAGACGGCGAUAGGUAGGGGUCCUGAGAGGGAGAUCCCCCACACUGGUACUGAGACACGGACCAGACUCCUACGGGAGGCAGCAGUGAGGAAUAUUGGACAAUGGAGGCAACUCUGAUCCAGCCAUGCCGCGUGCAGGAAGACGGCCCUAUGGGUUGUAAACUGCUUUUAUACGGGAAGAACCACAUCUACGUGUAGAUGCUUGACGGUACCGUAUGAAUAAGACCGCUAACU